RNAcentral lists this long non-coding RNA (285 nucleotides) under Carica papaya (papaya). Its description in RNAcentral is "long non-coding RNA (CPAP_LNC005534)". The record is from RNAcentral. Lineage: Eukaryota; Viridiplantae; Streptophyta; Magnoliopsida; Brassicales; Caricaceae.
UUAAUUCACUUAUUUCCUACCUAAGAUUUUAAUUUCUAUACAUAAUUAAACACAAAGACACACACAAAAUACACGAUAUCAUCACGCACCAAAACUAUACAUUUCAAAAUACUUUCUGAAUCAUCCUGUACCAAAUCAUACAGCAAGCACAAGAUACUCAGAUUCCUCACAUUACUGAACCAGAUCACACAACAAGUAUAAUGUACCAUACAUCUGCACCAGAUUAUACAGCAAGUGCAGUGUACCCAAAUUCCACACGUACACACACUAGUUAUACAUUUCAUG